RNAcentral lists this ribosomal RNA (253 nucleotides) under uncultured microorganism. RNAcentral's name for it is "partial 16S ribosomal RNA". It matches the Rfam family "Bacterial small subunit ribosomal RNA", at positions 524 to 776 of the family's 1533-position model. The record is from RNAcentral.
UACGUAGGGUGCGAGCGUUAAUCGGAUUUACUGGGCGUAAAGCGUGCGCAGGCGGCCCGUUAAGACAGGUGUGAAAUCCCUGGGCUCAACCUAGGAAUUGCGCUUGUGACUGGCGGGCUCGAGUACGGUAGAGGGGGGUGGAAUUCCUGGUGUAGCAGUGAAAUGCGUAGAGAUCAGGAUGAACACCGAUGGCGAAGGCAGCCCCCUGGGCCUGUACUGACGCUCAUGCACGAAAGCGUGGGGAGCAAACAGG